This is a long non-coding RNA of Larimichthys crocea (large yellow croaker), 578 nucleotides long. RefSeq lists it as uncharacterized. NCBI's taxonomy places the organism in Eukaryota, Metazoa, Chordata, Actinopteri, Sciaenidae. The record is from RefSeq and is a predicted model, not a curated record. The transcript has 5 exons.
AAGAGAGAGAGACAGAACAACAAACUAAGAACCAACACCACAUGACAUGCCGUGUGUGUGAAACAAAGGGCAGAAUCACAGGACACUGAAGCUGACACUGAAAUCUGAAAGUGAUCAAGACCGAGAUGGACCAAAAAACAACAUUGAUGAAUAUAAACACUUCUAUUUCCUGUCGGCACAGGUUGUCUGAUGUCAAGGAUGUUUUGUUGACCCUGUCCACAGCAGAACAUCGCUUAUCUUCCAUGCUGGUCCUCCUGCCUGCUCUUCACAUUGGGGGUGUCGUCGCUGGACAUCUGGCUGUGUCCUCUCUCAGAGAGAGCUCUGUCGUAGCUGCUCUGGGACUGGCUGUCGAAGUCGGCAUCCUGUAGACGCGGAGCAACGAGGACAUUCACAGUUUCCUCAUCCUGUCCAGCCGGUCGCCAAGUCAACAAACUGAUGUGAAAAGCAAACAGUGGCAGAUUGGAAAUGAGACUGAAUAAAGGCGUGGUUCAUGCUGUUCGAGAGCACGUGGGUGGAGGACUUACGCGUGAGGGCUGGUGUUCUGGAAGAUCUCCAGCAUGCAGGAGCAGGUGAUUUUC